CUCCUACGGGAGGCAGGCAGUGGGGAAUAGUUGGACAAUGGGGGCAACCCGUGAUCCAGCAAUGCCGCGUGUGUGAAGAAGGCCUUCGGGUUGUUAAAGGCAACUUUUUAUCCGGUAACGAAACGCGACCAGGCAAAUACCUUAGGCGAACUGACGGUACCGGAGGAAUAAGCACCGGCUAACUUCGUGCCAGCAGCCGCGGUAAUAC
Molecule: ribosomal RNA, 208 nt
Filed under: uncultured bacterium
Lineage: Bacteria
Description: partial 16S ribosomal RNA
Rfam family: Bacterial small subunit ribosomal RNA
Source: RNAcentral